UAAAGAUUCAUCGCUGAUAGAUAGGCAUGCGUUCCAUUAGGCAGUUGGCGGGGUAACGGCCCACCAAACCGACGAUGGAUAGGGGUUCUGAGAGGAAGGUCCCCCACAUUGGUACUGAGACACGGACCAAACUCCUACGGGAGGCAGCAGUGAGGAAUAUUGGUCAAUGGGCGUAAGCCUGAACCAGCCAAGUCGCGUGAGGGAUGAAGGUUCUAUGGAUCGUAAACCUCUUUUAUAAGGGAAUAAGGUGUGGGACGUGUCCUAUUUUGUAUGUACCUUAUGAAUAAGGAUCGGCUAACUCCGUGCCAGCAGCCGCGGUAAUACGGAGGAUCCGAGCGUUAUCCGGAUUUAUUGGGUUUAAAGGGUGCGUAGGCGGCCUUUUAAGUCAGCGGUGAAAGUCUGUGGCUCAACCAUAGAAUUGCCGUUGAAACUGGGGGGCUUGAGUAUGUUUGGGGCAGGCGGAAUGCGUGGUGUAGCGGUGAAAUGCUUAGAUAUCACGCAGAACCCCGAUUGCGAAGGCAGCCUGCCAAGCCAUGACUGACGCUGAUGCACGAAAGCGUGGGGAUCAAACAGGAUUAGAUACCCUGGUAGUCCACGCAGUAAACGAUGAUCACUAGCUGUUUGCGAUACAGUGUAA
RNAcentral lists this ribosomal RNA (637 nucleotides) under uncultured bacterium. RNAcentral's name for it is "bacterial SSU rRNA". It matches the Rfam family "Bacterial small subunit ribosomal RNA", at positions 202 to 842 of the family's 1533-position model. The record is from RNAcentral.